UAUCUCUGUAGAGUCUGCAUAUCAAUAAGCGGAGGAAAAGAAACUAACUAGGAUUCCCUUAGUAACGGCGAGUGAAGCGGGAAGAGCUCAAAUUUGAAAUCUUCAAGGUUUACCUUGACGAAUUGUAGUUUAAAGAAGUGUUUUCUGUUGGAGUUUCGGUAAAAGUUCUUUGGAAUAGGACAUCAUAGAGGGUGAGAAUCCCGUAUUUGACCAUUAUUUCAGCUGUGUGAUACACUUUCAAAGAGUCGGAUUGUUUGGGAAUGCAGUCCAAAAUGGGUGGUAAAUUUCAUCUAAAGCUAAAUAUUGGCGAGAGACCGAUAGCGAACAAGUACCGUGAGGGAAAGAUGAAAAGAACUUUGAAAAGAGAGUUAAACAGUACGUGAAAUUGUCAAAAGGGAAGCGUUUGACACCAGUGUUGUUUUCUCGAAAAUCAAUUAAAAAUGGCUUGAUUUUGUGUUGUAUUGACCUUAAAAGCUUUCUUCACUUUUUUCAUGUCUUUUUUAAUGCACUUUUCGUUUAACAAGUCAACAUCAGUUUCUUUUGUUGUAAAAAGGUCAUUGGAAGGUGGCUUUCUUUUCGGAGAAAGUGUUUAUAGCCUUUGACUUCUGCAAUCGGAGAGACUGAGGUCUGCAGCGUAGAUCCUUCUGGAUUAGAUUCAUUUGUGCUAAGUUACAACCGUUUAUAGACAACUUGUUGACUAUAUUCGAUCCUGUAGCUUACUCGCUUAUGUAAUUUUACCUACGCUUAGGAUGUUGAAGAUGUAGCACAUCAU
Molecule: ribosomal RNA, 772 nt
Filed under: uncultured Neocallimastigales
Lineage: Eukaryota; Fungi; Neocallimastigomycota; Neocallimastigomycetes; Neocallimastigales
Description: partial large subunit ribosomal RNA
Rfam family: Eukaryotic large subunit ribosomal RNA
Source: RNAcentral